GCGCUGAUAGUGUAGUGGUAACACGGCAAGCUCCAACCUUGCUAUCUGGGGUUCAAGUCCUCAUCAGCGUG
Molecule: transfer RNA, 71 nt
Filed under: Mycobacterium phage Wildcat
Lineage: Duplodnaviria; Heunggongvirae; Uroviricota; Caudoviricetes; Vilmaviridae
Rfam family: tRNA
About the family: Transfer RNA (tRNA) molecules are approximately 80 nucleotides in length. Their secondary structure includes four short double-helical elements and three loops (D, anti-codon, and T loops). Further hydrogen bonds mediate the characteristic L-shaped molecular structure. tRNAs have two regions of fundamental functional importance: the anti-codon, which is responsible for specific mRNA codon recognition, and the 3' end, to which the tRNAs corresponding amino acid is attached (by aminoacyl-tRNA synthetases). tRNAs cope with the degeneracy of the genetic code in two manners: having more than one tRNA (with a specific anti-codon) for a particular amino acid; and 'wobble' base-pairing, i.e. permitting non-standard base-pairing at the 3rd anti-codon position.
Source: Rfam by way of RNAcentral